CCCAGACCCCUCCCCUCAGCCUGGACCCCCACACCCAGCUGGGAUCCUUUGCCCCGAGCAUCCCCCCUUGCACCGUGCGGGCGGCCGUGCAGCUGGGCGAGUCCGGAGGGGGCCUCCAGCCACCCGGGAGGUCCCUCACCCUCCUCUGCCAGGCCUCCGGCUUCACCUUCAGUGGCUACAACAUGUUCUGGAUCCGACAGGCGCCCGGGAAGGGGCUGGAGUGGGUCGCGCAAAUUCACAGCGGUGGUGGCACAUACAUCGCGCCAUCGGUCCAAGGGCGCUUCACCAUCUCCAGGGACAACUCCCAGAGCACGCUCACGCUGCAGAUGAACAGCCUCAGGGACGAGGACACGGCCACCUACUACUGCGCCAAAGAAGAUAAUGAUGGUG
This is a non-coding RNA of Egretta garzetta (little egret), 390 nucleotides long. Lineage: Eukaryota; Metazoa; Chordata; Aves; Pelecaniformes; Ardeidae. The record is from the annotation of a RefSeq genome assembly.